AGAGAGAAAGACCAUAGUUGAACAAUUUUCACAAAUUAAUUUCUUCAAAAAUGAAGGAGAAGCAAGAGAGAGAUUGCCAAUUUUAUUUCACUUUCAGUUUCACUUACUUAGCUACCAAAUGCAGCUGGCUAGUUUAGUUACUCAAACACCCAGCUCAAACAGAGGGAUGCUAUGUUAGCUAGCUGGCUAUGACUAUCCGACACAACACUGUAACUCUUCCAAGUCAAGGUUUUUUCGCCUGGUCACAGACAGCUGAUGUGUUGUUCAUUGAAGUCCACAAACGAAGAGAAAAGCUGAGAAGAGUGCAUAGAGUGCACAGUUGGGUGCCAGACUGAUCCCUUGGUUAUGAAGGGAUGCCGGGACCUACCAGAAGGAGCAAAGCUUGUCAGGCAAUACCUCAGAGUAAAAGUGUACCCUUGUGACACGUCCUCCAUUGUUGGCCGAGUCUUCCUUACUGCACUGAUGACACAGACAGCUUCAUCAACAACUACAGCCCCUCCCAGUCAACACCACCUCAUAAGAUUGCCUGCUGCAGUUGUUCGAGAGAUGUCCAGUUUGCAGCUGAACAUGCAGCAUAGAGAAGACCAACAAGGGGGCCCUCAUCAGCAUCAUGCAGACAUGCCUUCACUGUGAACAUUCCUAUGAAUGGAACAGUCAGUCACACGUUGGGCAAGUAUCCGGCCAGCAACAUUCACCUGUCAGCGACAACAGCUUUCACAGGCUCAUCAUUUGUACAAAUACAGAAGAUAACCCACUUCAUUACUUUGAUACAUUUGAUAAUCCAAUUGUGAAAAUAGAUGUAUGUAAACUGACAUUAUGUGUUGCUUAUUUAGAUAUAAUGUCCAGGGCAUAACCAGCCUGAUUGCUGUGUUUACCAUUGUACAGUAUUUCACUUCACAUUUGAUGAUAUCUGAAGUGAAAUAGAAAGGUGAAAGCAGUGAUCAGGUUGGUUCCACCAGGCUAAUGAUAACCACCAUUUAUAAUAUAAUCAAUGCUCUCUGUGUGUGUGUGUGUGUGUGUGUGUGUGUGUGUGUGUGUGUGUGUGUGUGUGUGUGUGUGUGUGUGUGUGUGUGAGUGACUGCCCAGUAUCUUUGAUGAGGGGCCAGGAGCUGAUCUAUGCUGCUAUACUUGAUAGGGCCUUGGCAUAGACCUCACCUCCAGUCUCACCUCUUGCCUGCUCACCAACGGUUGUGUAGAGGUGGAGAACACAAUUAGGUACAUUUAGUCUGACUUGGUCAAACUUCAGCAUAGUAUAUGUGUGUGUGUGUCAGAUAUCACCUAUCCCUAACUGCCAUUGGUAAUAGAACAGUGACUGUGUGUGUACAGUAUGUGUUCACAGAAACAUUGAGGCAGCACAUGCAGACAAGCAAGCAUUUCGCUACACCUGCAAUAACAUCUGCUAAACAUGUGUAUGUGACAAAUAAAAUGAGAUUUGAUGAUGUGUUGAAGUCCAGACUGACACACAGGCUUGAUACUGAUGUCUCUGAAUGGAGAGAGAAAUGGCA
Oncorhynchus nerka (sockeye salmon) is the source of this 1505-nucleotide long non-coding RNA. RefSeq lists it as uncharacterized. Lineage: Eukaryota; Metazoa; Chordata; Actinopteri; Salmoniformes; Salmonidae. The record is from RefSeq and is a predicted model, not a curated record. The transcript is spliced from 5 exons.